CUGUGCCCGGCUCCGGGAUGGAGACUUGGAUCUGCUUGGCUCCCAACCAGCCGCCCCCACGUCUCCCUCCUCCUCCCCCUCCUCCUCCUCAUCCUUUCCCUCUUCAUUCUCCUCCCCUCCUUCCUUCCCACCCCUCCCUCCCCCCUCCUCCUCCUCCGCUCCCAUUCCUUACAGCUGUGCUCAUCUAAGGGGAAAUUUCCAAAACCCCUUGCGCAAUGCCUUCUUGAAUCUCUGGGCAGAGGAUCGCCAGAGGCUGAACCCACCCCCAGGGGCCAUCCCCAGGGGCCACCCCCGGAGGUCGUAGCCAGGGGCCACCCCAAGGGACCACCCCCCACCGGAUCCCACAGCCAGGGCCCACCUCUAGAGCCCAUCCCCAGGGCCACCCCCAGAGUCCACCUCUAGAGACCACCCCCAGAUCCCGGCCAUUCAGGGUUCCAGUCUUUGAUUCCGGGACGCCCCCCGCCCCCUGCCCCUCUCUUUUCCAGGGACCCCGCUAAGGCAGGCAGGCUACGGAGCGCCGGGCAUCGUGGGCACCUCCAGGCACCGUGAGCACCGCUGGCCUCGCUGGCAGCCCGGAGAGCCUCCCCGGUCCCGGCUCCUCCUCCGGCCCCUCCUCCCGUCCCUCCUCCCGUCCCUCCUCCCGUCCCUCCUCCCGUCCCUCCCCCGGCCUCGUCGUCCCGGGCAUCGUGCCUUCCCAUCCGGAGGCACCGGAGGGAGCGGCGCGGCCAGGACCGGCUCCGGACGGCCCGUUCUCCGGGGACCCCCCUGCCCUCCCAUCGUUGCCCUCCCUCCUCUGCCCUCCUUCCCUCCUCCCAACCCAGGACCUGCCCAGGAAUCAGGAGGCCGAGGCGGAGGGCAUGGGCCGGUGCCCCCGGGCAGGGCGGGGCGGGCAGCGGGCGGGGCAGGGGCAGGGGGCGACCCCACCCCUCCCCGCCCCCGGCCCCCGGCCCCACCUCUGCUGAACCCCGGCUGCCCCGGACCCCUCCUCCGCCCGGGACGGCCGAACAGAGGGCAUCUCAAAAACUCACAGAGAAGGGAUCUUCCGGGCGGCGACGGAGUUGGCAGGAUCACCAGAGAUCACGAUGUGCAGAGUGGAGAUGCCCCGGCCCCUGCCGGGAAGGCUGAGCAGACUGGCAGCUUCGCCCAGCUCUUCCCAUGGGAGAUGAAAUGUUUUAAGCCAAGACUGUGAACUGCCCCCAUCGGUCUUCCGGCACGUUGGCUCACACCAGCUCGCCUCCGUUAGCUGCGGGCCGAGGCUGCUGAGAACUAGUGUAGGGAAGCCAUCUGAGCAGAGUUUGGGAAGAUCCGUCACCUUCAUUCUCCCACACGCGGGGGAGCGAGAGUCUGCCCAGCGUGAAGGACAGAGCGUCAGAGAGAACGUGAAUAAGUAAACUCAUAGAAGAACACCAGAUUAUUCCCCGUGUGCCAGUGAUCACCCUUUGAAUGUAUCGAUACCGCUUUCGGAACCGGCAUCACAUUCCCGGUGCCAGGAAUGACUUUCCGACCGGGAACCGGGAGACGAUCUUUUCACGAAAGACGGAUGUGUAACAAUGGCGGUUAAUUUCGAACCGGAACUGUAGGGAGGAAAAGGCGAGAUUCAUUUUCCAUCGCUGCGCUAACCGUGUCGGCGACUAUCUGAGCCCUGACCGGUCAGCUCGACGGAGGCGCCGGUGGCUCUAGCACCUCGAAAACUUGGUGGCCGUGGAGUCAGGCUGGGCUGACCCCGAGAUAGAAAGGCCUUUUUCCCCAUCCCAGGGGCUGCGUGUGUUCCUUUUGAGCCACCUGAGCCUCUGCCAGAGCUCACCCGGUAAACGCCGGAGUCGUCGUUCUGCACAAGCCUAAAAGGUUCAUUUUCCAGUAACGGGAUGGACGAGGGUGACGUGCACCGUAUCUGACCCGUGGGCCUGAAGGG
RNAcentral lists this long non-coding RNA (1912 nucleotides) under Ornithorhynchus anatinus (platypus). Its description in RNAcentral is "lncRNA (ENSOANG00000047748.1)". The record is from RNAcentral. Lineage: Eukaryota; Metazoa; Chordata; Mammalia; Monotremata; Ornithorhynchidae.